UUAUACUUCUUAUUAUUCAUAUAAAAGAAAAGAAGAAGAAAAAAAACAGUUAAGAAGAUUAAGAAAGAAAUUUCAUGUUUAUUUCCCAAUAUCUUCAAUUAUGAUUGAUUUAUAAAGACAAUAAGAAUAAUAAUAACAAUAAUAAUAACAACAAUAAUAUGAAGAAGAAGAAGAAGAACAAAGUAUCUUGGUAUAUUCAAUUUUGCUUUCUUGUUCUUAUGUGGUAUAUGUAGCUAGUACAAUGUAAAUUUUAAUGUGGGAUUUUAUUUAAACGUGUCAUUUAAUGCGUAUUAUGAUUAAUAUGCAUUAUUCAUACACAUAUCAAUGUAUGUGUAUUUAAAUGAAUAUAGAAUUUAUACCUCGUUGACAAAUUAAAUUUACAAUAUUGAAAUAAGGGUGUCACGAUCAGGUACACGCAUCACGUUCGAUCGUCGACGAUCUUUCUAUAUAUAAAAUAUAUCGAUACCAAACGAUAUUACAUUUGUUGAAAGGCAUAUACGUAUUACGUACAGACGCGUACACGUGCAUACAGAAAAAUUAAGAAAAAAAUAGCAAAAUAGAGCGAGGAAGAGAGAGAGAGAGAGAGAGAUGAAAGUUCAUUGUUUACGAGGAAGGACGUCUGUCCUAACAAACGGAGUUUUCGAUGAGGUCUCGUAUUUUUCUAUUCCUGUUGCUUUCUUUUAUUUUUUGAUUUUGAUUAAUUAACUAAUUAAAUUAUAAAAAUUUUAAUAUAUAUAUAUAUAUAUAUAUAUAAUAUUAUUACACUGAAAGAAAAAGAGAAUGUUUAUACCAUUUACUAGCUGACAUAUACAAAGCAAAAAUUAUUACAAUGUUUAUAUGUUUCUAUAUAAGGUGAAAUAUCUAAAUACACCUUAUGUUAUGUACUUUCUGUCGAAUAUCGUAUGAGAUCAGUCUUUCGGCAACCACCAAGGUGGAAUGUUGGAAGAUCCCAUAUAAACAUACGUUUGUAAAUAGAUACAUAUGUACAUAACUAGAUACAUAAUAUACACACCCACGCACACAGACACAAAGUAUAUAGUAGUCUUUCCUUGGGUAUUGCUUGAGGUUUAUUAUAUUGUGUAGACAGUAAUGAGCAACCUUUCUUCUGCAAUGAGCCAAAAUUAAAUAUCUGAUAUUGUUAUUGAUAGAAUUCAUUAUGAACUAAAAAUGUUUAAAUUGAUUAACAAAGAAAUUAAUACUUAAUAGAAAAAGAAAAAAUUACACAUUAUUGAAGGGUAUUUGUUAUUGUCGGCAUCAAUUUACAAUGAAAUGUUUUCUAUAAUUCCAUUGAUUUUUUAUUAGCAAUACUUUUAAUGUGUACGCAUAAAUGUAUGUAUAUACAUUUGUGUAAUGGAACGAAAUCUAUUAGUUGUUUAUUUUUAAUUAGAUAUAUGAUUCUACUUCUCGUUAAUAAACUUUACAUUAUUAUAUUGGAAGAUACAAUGGAAGAUAUCGAAUUAAACUCUAAUACAAUCUUUUAUUCGUUUGUCGUUAACGUUAAGACUUUUGAUAAAAGAUUUCAAUACCUCGGUUAAUAGUUAAAGUGCCUUUCAACUGGCCGUAGAUAACAAAGCUCUUCACAAAUGUAUCAACGUAAGAUGUAAUACCACUGAUUAAGAAAUUCACUAAUUAUAGUCGACUAUUGUCAUUUUUCGAUGCAAGAUGUAAGUCGUAUUUGCAUUGAUACGCAGAUGAAUACGUAUAUGAUAAUGUUUUUUUAUAAACCCUGAGUUUAUUUCUGAUACAGAUUGAGAUAUAUACAGAUAUAUAUAUAUAUAUAUAUAUAUAUAUAUUAUAUGUAUAUAUAUAUACAGAGAGAGAAAGAGAGAGAGAGAGAGAGAGAGAGAAAGAAAGGGUAAACGAAUCGAGAAUUUGAAUAAAACAAAGAACGAUAUCGAGAUUAAAUUGAAAAGAAACUUUGUUAGCUCUUGACAAAAAGGCAUUCGAUAAGGAAGCAUUAGGCGUCCAAAGUACAAUUAUAUCAAAAACCCAUUCAAAUUAAAGAAGAUUACAUAUGUAUCUGAUUAUGAUACCUUAUAUUUCUUAUUAUUCAUAUAAAAGAAAAGAAAAAGAAAAAAAAAACAGAUAAGAAGAAUAAGAAAGAAAUCUCAUCUUUAUUUCCCAAUAUCUUCAAUUAUGAUAGAUUUCUAAAUACAAUAAGGAUAAUAAUAACAAUAAUAACAACAACAAUAAUAUGCAGAAGAAGAAGAAGAAGAAGAAUAAAGUAUCUUGGUAUAUUCAAUUUUGCUUUCUUGUUCUUAUGUAGUAUAUGUAUCUAGUACAAUGUAAAUUUUAAUGUGGGAUUUCAUUUAAACGUGUCAUUUAAUGCGUAUUAUGAUUAAUAUGCAUUAUUCAUACACAUAUCAAGGUAUGUGUAUUUAAAUGAAUAUAGAAUUUAUACCUCGUUGACAAAUUAAAUUUACAAUAUUGAAAUAAGGGUGUCACGAUCAGGUACACGCAUCACGUUCGAUCGUCGACGAUCUUUCUAUAUAUAAAAUAUAUCGAUACCAAACGAUAUUACAUUUGUUAAAAGGCAUAUACGUAUUACGUACAUACGCGUACACGUGUAUACAGAAAAAUUAAGAAAAAAAUAGCAAAACAGAGCGAGGAAGAGAGAGAGAGAGAGAGAGAGAGAGAUGAAAGUACAUUGUUUUCUAACAAACGGAGUUUUCGAUGAGGUCUCGUAUUUUUCUAUUCCUGUUGCUUUCUUUUAUUUUUUGAUUUUGAUUAAUUAACUAAUUAAAUUAUAAAAAUUUUAAUAUAUAUAUAUAUAUAUAUAUAUAUAUAUAUAUAUAUAUAUAAUAUUAUUACACUGAAAGAAAAAGAGAAUGUUUAUACCAUUUACUAGCUGACAUAUACAAAGCAAAAAUUAUUACAAUGUUUAUAUGUUUCUAUAUAAGGUGAAAUAUCUAAAUACACCUUAUGUUAUUUACUUUCUGUCGAAUAUCGUAUGAGAUCAGUCUUUCGGCAACCACCAAGGUGGAAUGUUGGAAGAUCCCAUAUAAACAUACGUUUGUAAAUAGAUACAUAUGUACAUAACUAGAUACAUAAUAUACACACCCACGCACACAUACACAAAGUAUAUAGUAGUCUUUCCUUGGGUAUUGCUUGAGGUUUAUUAUAUUGUGUAGACAGUAAUGAGCAACCUUUCUUCUGCAAUGAGCCAAAAUUAAAUAUCUGAUAUUGUUAUUGAUAGAAUUCAUUAUGAACUAAAAAUGUUUAAAUUGAUUAACAAAGAAAUUAAUACUUGAUAGAAAAAGAAAAAAUUACACAUUAUUGAAGGGUAUUUGUUAUUGUCGGCAUCAAUUUACAAUGAAAUGUUUUCUAUAAUUCCAUUGAUUUUUUAUUAGCAAUACUUUUAAUGUGUACGCAUAAAUGUAUGUAUAUACAUUUGUGUAAUGGAACGAAAUCUAUUAGUUGUUUAUUUUUAAUUAGAUAUAUGAUUCUACUUCUCGUUAAUAAACUUUACAUUAUUAUAUUGGAAGAUACAAUGGAAGAUAUCGAAUUAAACUCUAAUACAAUCUUUUAUUCGUUUGUCGUUAACGUUAAGACUUUUGAUAAAAGAUUUCAAUACCUCGGUUAAUAGUUAAAGUGCCUUUCAACUGGCCGUAGAUAACAAAGCUCUUCACAAAUGUAUCAACGUAAGAUGUAAUACCACUGAUUAAGAAAUUCACUAAUUAUAGUCGACUAUUGUCAUUUUUCGAUGCAAGAUGUAAGUCGUAUUUGCAUUGAUACGCAGAUGAAUACGUAUAUGAUAAUGUUUUUUUAUAAACCCUGAGUUUAUUUCUGAUACA
Long non-coding RNA from Vespula vulgaris, 3794 nucleotides. RefSeq lists it as uncharacterized. The record is from RefSeq and is a predicted model, not a curated record. The transcript has 4 exons. Lineage: Eukaryota; Metazoa; Arthropoda; Insecta; Hymenoptera; Vespidae.